This is a long non-coding RNA of Myotis davidii, 1302 nucleotides long. RefSeq lists it as uncharacterized. The record is from RefSeq and is a predicted model, not a curated record. The transcript is spliced from 2 exons. Lineage: Eukaryota; Metazoa; Chordata; Mammalia; Chiroptera; Vespertilionidae.
GCAGGGACCAUGAUGGUCACUGGCUUGUCGGGGUUCUGUGAGUGGAAGAUUUGGGGACAUGGGGUAGAAGGCAAAGCAGCCAGCCAGUGGGUGGCCACAGAGAGACCAGACAGAGGUUGCCUAACCUUUAGCAGAGAACUCCCCGAGUCCAGAUCACGAUGUUCUGGGCCCAUGGGAUGCUCAGUUCCAGUUUUGCCAAGGCCUGGCCCAACCACAUGCCAUGGUCUUGAACUUUCAGGAGAUCCUGUCAUCCUAAUGCUGCUGUGACAAUAAAUUCCACCCCCUAACUUGAGGGCCCUGGGAGAACCUCUGCCACUUGGAGGAAAAAAAUCCCCCAAAACCCACGUGACUGAGUCAGCCUUUCCCAAGUAGGUCUUUAAAAUUCAGAAUGAGACAAGGUCAAGAUCAGAUAGAUCCCUGGGACCCGGCCACUCCUGGGGGUGGGUGUUCACCAGCCAAGCCACUCUCCCCUCUGUAGCCUUUACCCUCACUUUCCUACCAGCAUCCCACGGCUGAGUUAAUUAACUAUCAGGUGAAUCUCAACUCUAUUCAAAGUCCUUAAAGAGUUAUAAGUGCCUACUGCGUGCAGGGCACUGUGUGGGGCUGCGGAGGAUGCACGCAUGAGGGAGAUAAGAUGCCCACCUUCCAGGGAGGAGGCAGCAGGGGAUGACCAGCAGUCCCUGGGGCUCUUAGUGAUCACGACGCAUGCUCUCUGCAGUUCUCUGAUCUGCCACUCGGGAAAUAGACUAAAUAAGAACCUGGCAGUGAACGGUGGAAAAGGGAUGGCAGUCACAUUACAGUGGAAAAACCUGGCAAGUGCUACCUCCGCCAAACAAUCAAGGUCAACAUCAACAGGGCCACCACCCUCAUCUAAUCAUGAGAAAAGCAUCAGGCAAAUUCUGACAGAAGAGCAUCCUACAAUAUACCUGACAUUUUCCUCAAGGCUGUCAAGGUCAUUAAGAACAAGAACUUGAGAAAUUGUCACAACCAAGAGGAGCCUAAGGAGACAUGACAACUGAACGCAGCGUGGAGGCCUGGAUGGGCACCUGCAACAGAAAAUGAAUGUUCGGCGAACACGGAGGAACUCCGAACAAUCUAGGGACUUUAUAACAAUAACAUUAAUAACAAGGGAUCAAUUUGGGUUCAUCGUUUGUAACAAAUGUACCACACUAAUGUUAGAUAUUAAUAAUCAGGGAAGCUGGGUACCGGACAUAUAGAAACUCUCUGUUCUGUCUGCUCAAUAUUUCUAUAAAUCUAAAACUGUUCUAAAAAUAAAGUCUAUUAAAAAAGUCCCUGCAGCAA